Molecule: ribosomal RNA, 443 nt
Filed under: uncultured bacterium
Lineage: Bacteria
Description: partial 16S ribosomal RNA
Rfam family: Bacterial small subunit ribosomal RNA
Source: RNAcentral
CCUACGGGUGGCAGCAGUGGGGAAUAUUGGGCAAUGGGCGCAAGCCUGACCCAGCAACGUCGCGUGAAGGAAGACGGCUUUCGGGUUGUAAACUUCUUUUCUGAGGGACGAAGAAAGUGACGGUACCUCAGGUAUAAGCCACGGCUAACUACGGGCCAGCAGCCGCGGUAAUACGUAGGUCGCAAGCGUUAUCCGGAUUUAUUGGGUGUAAAGGGCGUGUAGGCGGGAAAGCAAGUCAGAUGUGAAAACUAAGGGCUGCACCCUGGGCCUGCAUUUGAAACUGUUUUUCUUGAGUGCUGGAGAGGCAGUCGGAAUGCGGGGUGUAGCGGUGAAAUGCAUAGAUAUACGGAAGAACACCGGUGGCGAAGGCGGAUUGCUGGACAGUAACUGACGCUGAGGCGCGAAAGCGUGGGGAGCGAACAGGAUUAGAUACCCGAGUAGUC